Molecule: Y RNA, 110 nt
Filed under: Prolemur simus (greater bamboo lemur)
Lineage: Eukaryota; Metazoa; Chordata; Mammalia; Primates; Lemuridae
Description: Y RNA (ENSPSMG00000005520.1)
Rfam family: Y RNA
About the family: Y RNAs are components of the Ro ribonucleoprotein particle (Ro RNP), in association with Ro60 and La proteins. The Y RNAs and Ro60 and La proteins are well conserved, but the function of the Ro RNP is not known. In humans the RNA component can be one of four small RNAs -- hY1, hY3, hY4 and hY5.
Source: Rfam by way of RNAcentral
GGCUGCUCUGAAGGUAGUGAGUUAUCUGAACUGAUUGGUCACAAUCAGUUACAGAUUAAAUUUGUUCUAUUCUUUCCUCUCUUCUCACUACUGUACUUGACUAAUCUUUA